This 253-nucleotide ribosomal RNA is filed under the name uncultured bacterium. RNAcentral describes it as "partial 16S ribosomal RNA". It matches the Rfam family "Bacterial small subunit ribosomal RNA", at positions 524 to 776 of the family's 1533-position model. The record is from RNAcentral.
UACGAAGGGGGCUAGCGUUGCUCGGAAUCACUGGGCGUAAAGCGCACGUAGGCGGCUUUUUAAGUCAGGUGUGAAAUCCUGGAGCUCAACUCCAGAACUGCCUUUGAUACUGAGGAUCUUGAGUUCGGGAGAGGUGAGUGGAACUGCGAGUGUAGAGGUGAAAUUCGUAGAUAUUCGCAAGAACACCAGUGGCGAAGGCGGCGCACUGGCCCGAUACUGACGCUGAGGCACGAAAGCGUGGGGAGCAAACAGG